GCUGGGUGUGGUGGCGCACACCUGUAAUUCCAGCUACUCGGGAGGCUGAGGCAGGAGAAUCGCUUGAGCCCAGGAAGCAGAGGUUGUAGUGAACCAAGAUUGUCCCACUGCACUCCAGCCUGGGCAACAGAGUGAGACUCUAUCUCAA
Molecule: non-coding RNA, 148 nt
Filed under: Pan troglodytes (chimpanzee)
Lineage: Eukaryota; Metazoa; Chordata; Mammalia; Primates; Hominidae
Source: Rfam by way of RNAcentral